UACGUAGGGUGCAAGCGUUGUCCGGAAUUAUUGGGCGUAAAGAGCUCGUAGGCGGUUUGUCGCGUCUGCUGUGAAAACCUAAGGCUCAACCUUGGGCUUGCAGUGGGUACGGGCAGACUAGAGUGCGGUAGGGGUGACUGGAAUUCCUGGUGUAGCGGUGGAAUGCGCAGAUAUCAGGAGGAACACCGAUGGCGAAGGCAGGUCACUGGGCCGCAACUGACGCUGAGGCGCGACAGCGUGGGGAGCAAACAGG
RNAcentral lists this ribosomal RNA (253 nucleotides) under uncultured bacterium. RNAcentral describes it as "partial 16S ribosomal RNA". It matches the Rfam family "Bacterial small subunit ribosomal RNA", at positions 524 to 776 of the family's 1533-position model. The record is from RNAcentral.